CGGGCCGCCAAUCCUCGCCGUCCUGGCCGAUCUGCGCCGUCCCUGGCGGCCGCCGCUCCGUCCCCGGCCGCCUCUCCAUCACGGGUCGCCAAUCCUUGCCGUCCCGGGCCGCCGACCGCGCCGCCCUCGGCCGUCGUCAGCGUCGCCAGUGCGCCGCCCCCACGCCGCGAGAUCCCCUUCUCUGGCGGCGGCGCCCUCCCUCCGGCGUCCCUCUCCAUCACCCGGCGCCUCCUCCCUCCGCGCGGCAUGGAGCCGACGCGGGACCGGAGCGGCUCGGGCACGCGCGCGCCGGGGCGGCGCGCGGGCAGGCGUAGGCUGAGGCGCGGCGUGCGGGAGGAGGAUUGGCACGGUACAGGAGCGACCAGGCGAUCGACGCGGAUCGGGCUGCGGGCGGGCCUUCUGCCGCGGCGCGUGGGACGGCAAGUCGCGCGCCCCCACCCGAGGAUUCCCCACACGCGGCCGCCAUCCCCGUCGCUGUGCACGGCGGUCCGAGCGUGGCAUGCAGGAGCCGCGGCGAUGACUGCGCGAGGGAAGGUGGGGGGGAGGGGGGGGGGGGGGGCGGGGCGGCGGUGCGCCGGCCGCGGCGAGGCACGACGAGCCGCAAGGCUGCUGCGCGAGGCCGCGGCACGUGCAGCGCGAGGAGCCGCGAGGAGAGGCAACAACACUGCAGCGAUCGAGGUGCCGCUCCACUCCGACGCCGCCGUCCGCCCACUACCUCCACUACCGUCUCCGCGGCCUCUUCCGCCGGAACCUUAGCCUCACUUCGGCCGCGAUGGACGAAUCCGGGUCGGCCCCCAUCUUUGCGAACGUGCGCACCACCGAGGAAAAUAGCAGCAGCGCCUGGAUCCCCUCCCCCCAUCGCCUCCAGAUCACACCACCGUUGCCUCCACCUCCAAAACCUUUCUAGGCUGGUGCCGUUGCUGCGAGCGAGCUCAGGUUGGCCAUUUGAUCAAGGAGCUGGUGCAUUGUACAAGGACAAGGAAAUUUUAGCUCGAUAGAUUCAGAUCCUGCUGCUGCAAUGCGAUACACAGAGUGCCGCUUGGAUUCACUAGCAGAAGCCAUGUUCUUGACUGAUCUGGAGCUGAAUACAGUAUCUCUUUUCACUUCUUUGAUGUCUUUCUCUAAGGAGCCAUCUCUGCUGCCAACUCGUGUUUCAUCUCUAUUGUUGAAUGGUUAUUCUGGGAUUGCGGUCGGAAUGGCAACAAACAUUCCUCAUAAUCUGGGGGAGCUUGUUGAUGCACUUUCUGUUAUAAUUCAAAACCCUGAAGCCACAGGUUUCGCCUUCUCGAAACAUGUUCAAAAUCUCAGAGUCUCAUCUGCAAAAAAGACCAUCAUGCGGACGCGGAAGUGGAGACUGGAAAUCUGGAGGGAGACGACGCUGCGCCAGAUCACGAGAGAUGUAGCUGAGAGCUGCAAUCCACAGACGUGGCACCCUCUUACACCUCGCCGCCAUCCUCCUAGCGUCCGACUCCUCUGCAUCCGCCAUCGGGGACAAGUGCGCCGCCUGCAAGGCCGUUGCUAUAAGUUCCCUCUACUCUUCUCUCCUCUUGUCAUUCUUCGAGCAAUCCUAUUAAGUGUGUCUUUAACCAUUUUAUAUCAGCAAGGGGAAGAAACUAGCUCCGGCCUGAAGCAAUAUUGCAGGAUAGACCGUGACCUGUAUUAUUUAGCGUUGUCUAUUCCAAGUGUAAAGAUUCAAUCUUUUUUUUUACUGAACUGCUGAUGUAUAUGUGGAUGAUUUUGGAUUUCUGUGCCAGGAUUCAGGUGUAAGGUGCUGCUGCCGGAUGUCAUCUAUUCGAUGGGAUUCUGACCAUCACCUAUGACCGAGGCUUCUCCAAGCCUAUCCAGUUUGCAAUUCCAUAACUAAUGAGACCAAUAACACAUCCACCAAUGUGCAAGUGAUGAGAGAGACAAACCUACUCGAAGGGAACUUGUUUGAAGUGUAAAUAACUACCUUCAUUCUUUUUCAUACCUAUUACCUAGGCAAAUGCAGAACAAGAAGAAGUGUUCAUAUCUUUUCGUGUUUAUAUGAUAUUUAAGAAACAAAGAAAAUUCUGAACAAGAUGCUGGAUAUCAAAAUACCAGAACUGCAAUUAUGUGUGGAAGGACAUUCUAAAUGCUGAAGGUGAUGAGAUCCAUAUCAAGGAAGUUAGCUUGUACAUGAAGGAAGGAGAGAAGAUAUCCUUCUCGGAGCUUUCUGAAAGGGCAGUUCUACGUCGUGAAGUUACAAACAGGAGGGCUGCAUAUCUUUCCAUUAAGAAGAUCUGAAAGCUUCUUACAACAACUCAGGUCCUGUGGAGAACCAUAAUAGACUGUCUUACACUGAUAUAUCAUACUGAAAAUGCAACAGCCAAAAGCGAACCACAAAAGGGCUAUGCUAUGCUAAAUCUUUCGGAGAACGGCAAGGUGCUUAACAACUGCACUGAUAGCCUGUUGAGAUUGGUUCGCGGAACGAUAGAGAAGGAACUUGGAAAACCCAUGAGUAAUAUUUUUGCUUCAUUUGUGCUGGACCCUCUUGCAACUGCCUCAGUAAGUGCUGCAGUAUCAAAGUGAACUUUAGACUUCAGUUAUCUGAUAUAAAUUCAUAAUAUGCUCAUUUGAGGCUUCAAUGAAUGGUAACACAUAGCACAAGUUCAUUGGGCAACUCUAGCAAGUUGUCAAAAUUCAGUAUGAUGGUAUCAAAGAGAUCAUAUUAGAGGUUUAUCUCUGAUCUGGCUGGUAUGUAUGUCGCACAGUUGGAGUCUGUUACAUUUUUGUAUUGGUGGUCAGGAUCUGAAGAACGCAAAAUCAUCGGUUGAAUGGAUAGCGUGGGCAGAACCUCAGUAUGAUUUUAACCCAACGAUUGAUGAAUAGUGCAAGGAGGCACCAAAGGAACUUGAUUUUAACCAUGAAGCAGGUAAUUAUCCUUGCUCAGUUUCUCACUCAUACGCUUCUCUGGACAACUCCAUGUUUCAGUUGUCAAAGAUUGAUUAUGCUCUACCAGCCUAGAUAAUAAUAGUAGCUUUUCUUCUCAAUAGGUAGUCUGAGCCUAAUCUAAUCAUUUGAACACAUAGUUUCUUGUAGAACUUGGUGCUUCCCCUGAGUUACUCUCUUAUAAUGGAAAAGUGAUUCAUUGUAAAUGUGCUGAUCACAUGAGCAUGUAUGAUUUAAUCACCGUACUUUCAGAUUGUAUUUAACUUUUCAUGACCAAAUAUGACAGAUUAAUUUUUCGGUUUUGUCA
This is an RNA transcript of Panicum virgatum (switchgrass), 3217 nucleotides long. It is a transcript of the gene named DNA gyrase subunit A, chloroplastic/mitochondrial-like, with no coding region annotated. The transcript is spliced from 10 exons. The record is from RefSeq and is a predicted model, not a curated record. Lineage: Eukaryota; Viridiplantae; Streptophyta; Magnoliopsida; Poales; Poaceae.